UUCUGUGUGUUGAUCCGUCACCUAAAUCACCGACCUUCUGGUGAAUCUGAAUUACCAUUGCGAGAGGCCACCCUCUUUGAAGAGCUGCGUGCAUGUAAUGUUUCCAUUCUUCCGUACUACUUAUAAGCGUCAACUCCUAGAAAUCCCCAUUUGUUUCCCAGGAAGUCAUGGUAUGAACCGUAAGCAAAUGAGUCUUUGGAUUCACAUUGAACUUCCCGUGAAGCCAUUUGCGUAUGGAACCAAAACUCCUCUCUAGGGGUUUAUCUAGACUGCACUGUAUUCGUUCCACCGCCCACUCCAAGCUGUAGCACGCGCUCCACCGCCCUCCACCGAUCGAGCCGCUAGCCGUGCCGCUAGCCGUGCCGGGUCCCGUCGGCAUGUCCCGCCGUGUGAGUGCCGCGCGCGACCGAUGCUUGGAGCUGGAGCGAGCCAUCGCCGGCCGCGUCCGCUCGGGAAGCCUCGGCCUCGACGACGCCGUCAAGCUGUUCGACGAAUUGCUCCCGGUCGCCAGGCACUGAAUGCUAAACCCUGCACGACACCGACCUUGAGCGGCCUUGUGACCGCGGGCUCGGCCGACAGCACCAGCGACAACCGGAGGCUGGCCAAACGGGUUGGGGAAGAGCUUGGCAAUCUCAUCUGCACCAGAUCAAUUAAAAACCAACAAAUCUGAUGAGCUCAAACCCAUCGCAGACUGGACGACAAGCAGGACCCGAGAUACGGCGCACUGUAAUGGUCUCCUGAGUAAAACUUACCGGGGUUUCCUACGUUUCAGGAGUCUCUGAAUUAUUACAACUUUUGGACGGGCGUAGGGAGCCGUGUCAGUGAGCAUGUCCAUCUAUCAGACUGAGCCGUUUCAGGAGUCUCUGAAUUAUUACAAUUUCCUCUUGCUUCAGGAACAUAUACAAACAAACCAUGGAUCUGUAUCGUUUGCCAUAUAUGGUGACCAUCAUGAUAAGCCUGCUUUUAUUACUUAUCCAUAUAUUGCCUUGAACUGUAAGUUUUAUAAUCAUACUUUAUUGUUACAUAUAAGAAUUAUGCAGCACUAUGACUGAAGUCAACUAUUGUUCAGUCUUA
This is a long non-coding RNA of Panicum virgatum (switchgrass), 1074 nucleotides long. RefSeq lists it as uncharacterized. The record is from RefSeq and is a predicted model, not a curated record. The transcript has 2 exons. NCBI's taxonomy places the organism in Eukaryota, Viridiplantae, Streptophyta, Magnoliopsida, Poales, Poaceae.